This 504-nucleotide ribosomal RNA is filed under the name uncultured bacterium. RNAcentral describes it as "partial 16S ribosomal RNA". It matches the Rfam family "Bacterial small subunit ribosomal RNA", at positions 29 to 523 of the family's 1533-position model. The record is from RNAcentral.
AUUGAACGCUGGCGGCAGGCUUAACACAUGCAAGUCGAACGGUAGCACAGAGAGCUUACUCUCGGGUGACGAGUGGCGGACGGGUGAGUAAUGUCUGGGAAACUGCCCGAUGGAGGGGGAUAACUACUGGAAACGGUAGCUAAUACCGCAUAACGUCGCAAGACCAAAGUGGGGGACCUUCGGGCCUCACACCAUCGGAUGUGCCCAGAUGGGAUUAGCUAGUAGGUGGGGUAAGGGCUCACCUAGGCGACGAUCCCUAGCUGGUCUGAGAGGAUGACCAGCAACAAUGGAACUGAGACACGGUCCAGACGCCUACGGGAGGCAGCAGUGGGGAAUAUUGCACAAUGGGCGCAAGCCUGAUGCAGCCAUGCCGCGGGUAUGAAGAAGGCCUUCGGGUUGUAAAGUACUUUCAGCGGGGAGGAAGGCGGUGGAGUUAAUAACUUCACCGAUUGACGUUACCCGCAGAAGAAGCACCGGCUAACUCCGUGCCAGCCGCCGCCGUAA